GGGGAAUAUUGGACAAUGGGCGAAAGCCUGAUCCAGCCAUGCCGCGUGAGUGAUGAAGGCCCUAGGGUUGUAAAGCUCUUUCAACGGUGAAGAUAAUGACGGUAACCGUAGAAGAAGCCCCGGCUAACUUCGUGCCAGCAGCCGCGGUAAUACGAAGGGGGCUAGCGUUGUUCGGAAUUACUGGGCGUAAAGCGCACGUAGGCGGAUACUUAAGUUAGGGGUGAAAUCCCGAGGCUCAACCUCGGAACCGCCUUUAAUACUGGGUAUCUCGAGUAUGGUAGAGGUGAGUGGAAUUCCGAGUGUAGAGGUGAAAUUCGUAGAUAUUCGGAGGAACACCAGUGGCGAAGGCGGCUCACUGGACCAUUACUGACGCUGAGGUGCGAAAGCGUGGGGAGCAAAC
RNAcentral lists this ribosomal RNA (400 nucleotides) under uncultured bacterium. RNAcentral describes it as "bacterial SSU rRNA". It matches the Rfam family "Bacterial small subunit ribosomal RNA", at positions 356 to 773 of the family's 1533-position model. The record is from RNAcentral.